AUGCAAAUUGGCCUGAUGCUGUUUAUGUGUAUGUGAAUAUCCAUAAUUGGUACUUAUGCCUCCCCGGCAUAGACAGGUAAGA
Molecule: small RNA, 82 nt
Filed under: Bacteroides fragilis
Lineage: Bacteria; Pseudomonadati; Bacteroidota; Bacteroidia; Bacteroidales; Bacteroidaceae
Description: Bacteroides-1 RNA
Rfam family: Bacteroides-1 RNA
Source: RNAcentral